GAUAAUAUCCCUUUACACAUCCCACGUAUAUGUUUACAUAAUAGUCAUAAAUUUGUGUGUAUUCUAAUAUGAAUUUUUAUAACCCUUUGAGAAAAUACAGUUAAACCUUUUAAUAACAGCCUUAGUUGUUCCGAUAUGUUUUGUUUGUGAUAGUAAAGUAUGGUUAUUCAAAAAAUAUAUUGUAACGUAACUUAAAAAAUUGGAUCCAAAGAAAACUAGACCGUUAUAGUAAAAUGUUAUUGUUAUAGAGAUAUCU
This 256-nucleotide long non-coding RNA is filed under the name Nicotiana benthamiana. Its description in RNAcentral is "long non-coding RNA (NBEN_LNC022497)". The record is from RNAcentral. Lineage: Eukaryota; Viridiplantae; Streptophyta; Magnoliopsida; Solanales; Solanaceae.